RNAcentral lists this ribosomal RNA (229 nucleotides) under uncultured bacterium. Its description in RNAcentral is "partial 16S ribosomal RNA". It matches the Rfam family "Bacterial small subunit ribosomal RNA", at positions 568 to 796 of the family's 1533-position model. The record is from RNAcentral.
UGCGUAGGUGGUUUUGUAUGUCGAAUGUGAAAGCCCAUUGCUUAACGAUGGAAGGUCAUUCGAAACUGCAGGACUAGAGUACAGGAGAGGAGAGCGGAAUUCUUGGAGUAGCGGUGAAAUGCGUUGAUAUCAAGAAGAACACCGGAGGCGAAGGCGGCUCUCUAGAAUGAUACUGACACUGAGGCACGAAAGCUGGGGGAGCAAACAGGAUUAGAUACCCUGGUAGUCC